UGGGGAAUCUUGCGCAAUGGGCGAAAGCCUGACGCAGCGACGCCGCGUGGGGGAUGAAGCUUCUCGGAGUGUAAACCCCUUUCGACCUAGAUGAAAUGCCCCGCAAGGGGAACUGACAGUAUAGGGAGAAGAAGCCCCGGCUAACUACGUGCCAGCAGCCGCGGUAAGACGUAGGGGGCCAGCGUUGCUCGGAAUUACUGGGCGUAAAGGGUUCGUAGGCGGUGCGGCAAGUCUGAAGUGAAAUCUCCCGGCUCAACUGGGAGGCUGCUUUGGAAACUGCUGUGCUCGAGUCCGGGAGAGGCGCGUGGAAUUGCAGGUGUAGCGGUGAAAUGCGUAGAUAUCUGCAGGAACACCAGAGGCGAAAGCGGCGCGCUGGACCGGUACUGACGCUGAGGAACGAAAGCUAGGGGAGCAAACAGG
RNAcentral lists this ribosomal RNA (420 nucleotides) under uncultured Acidobacteriota bacterium. RNAcentral's name for it is "bacterial SSU rRNA". It matches the Rfam family "Bacterial small subunit ribosomal RNA", at positions 355 to 776 of the family's 1533-position model. The record is from RNAcentral. Lineage: Bacteria; Pseudomonadati; Acidobacteriota.